CCUACGAGAGGCAGCAGUGGGGGAUAUUGCACAAUGGGGGAAACCCUGAUGCAGCGACGCCGCGUGUGGGAAGACGGUCCUCUGGAUUGUAAACCACUGUCCCCAGGGACGAAGAUGACGGUACUUGGGGAGGAAGCUCCGGCUAACUACGUGCCAGCAGCCGCGGUAAUACGUAGGGAUCGAGCGUUGUCCGGAAUUACUGGGUGUAAAGGGAGCGUAGGCGGGACUGCAAGUUGGGUGUCAAAUCUACCGGCUCAACAGGUAGCCGCACGCAAAACUGCAGUUCUUGAGUGAAGUAGAGGCAGGCGGAAUUCGUAGUGUAGCGGUGAAAUGCGUAGAGAGUAGGAGGAACACCAGUGGCGAAGGCGGCCUGCUGGGCUUUUACUGACGCUGAGGCUCGAAAGUGUGGGGAGCAAACAGGAUUAGAUACCCCUGUAGUC
This 440-nucleotide ribosomal RNA is filed under the name uncultured bacterium. RNAcentral's name for it is "partial 16S ribosomal RNA". It matches the Rfam family "Bacterial small subunit ribosomal RNA", at positions 338 to 795 of the family's 1533-position model. The record is from RNAcentral.